Molecule: ribosomal RNA, 636 nt
Filed under: Salmonella enterica subsp. enterica serovar Enteritidis
Lineage: Bacteria; Pseudomonadati; Pseudomonadota; Gammaproteobacteria; Enterobacterales; Enterobacteriaceae
Description: partial 23S ribosomal RNA
Rfam family: Bacterial large subunit ribosomal RNA
Source: RNAcentral
GGGUUGUGAGGUUAAGCGACUAAGCGUACACGGUGGAUGCCCUGGCAGUCAGAGGCGAUGAAGGGCGUGCUAAUCUGCGAUAAGCGCCGGUAAGGUGAUAUGAACCGUUAUAACCGGCGAUACCCGAAUGGGGAAACCCAGUGUGACUCGUCACACUAUCAUUAACUGAAUCCAUAGGUUAAUGAGGCGAACCGGGGGAACUGAAACAUCUAAGUACCCCGAGGAAAAGAAAUCAACCGAGAUUCCCCCAGUAGCGGCGAGCGAACGGGGAGGAGCCCAGAGCCUGAAUCAGCAUGUGUGUUAGUGGAAGCGUCUGGAAAGGCGCGCGAUACAGGGUGACAGCCCCGUACACAAAAGCGCAUGUGCUGUGAGCUCGAUGAGUAGGGCGGGACACGUGGUAUCCUGUCUGAAUAUGGGGGGACCAUCCUCCAAGGCUAAAUACUCCUGACUGACCGAUAGUGAACCAGUACCGUGAGGGAAAGGCGAAAAGAACCCCGGCGAGGGGAGUGAAAAAGAACCUGAAACCGUGUACGUACAAGCAGUGGGAGCCCCACCACCAAAGCAUUUGCUGUACCGCGUUGACGGAGCGAAGCGACGUCAAACCGAUAAAACAGCAGUGUAAAGUGAGCCGCAGGG